AUCUUCCAUUUCCCUUUCUGUCUAUUUGUGCUCCUCUCCAUUCAUCCUUCUUCAGACAACCUUUUGUUUGCAGUAUAACUUUCAUCAGAACAAUUGUACUUUCUACACACAACUGUGCUCUUUUGCACUCUAUGAAUAUGCUGCCAAAUGCACCUUAUUCAUCGCUCCCCUCAAAUUUCUUUCACAAGGCUGAUAAGACAUAUUUUACUUAAAUAUGCAGAGAACUGUUGCUGCUAAUAUAAAGGCUGGGGUUUGCUAUGAAGUUAAUACAUACACAGUGAUUGAUUUAGCCAGCUGGUUUGUGUUUGUUAAUUCAAUGUAGGGCUGGGAAAUAUAUAUACAUCAAUUAGAUAUUAUUUGUGUUUUUGCACCAUGUGUAAAAUGUUUACAUUGUAAAAAUCUAGGUAUUACAACGUGCACAUAAAGAUGACUUUUAGCCAGAAAUGAAUGUAGAUGAUAGCUGAUUACAUUAGCAGUCUUGAGUCUUGACAGUCCUGUAAACUGUGAGAUGAAUAGUUACAUAAUAUUAUACAACGCUGAAGUUUCCUGGACUGUCAUGACUCCGGGUGGUGAGCUGGAUCUGGAUAUUUUAUAGUGAAUCUAAUGGACACAUCUAUGAGAGAGAUGGACUGAAGACUCCACACACUAAUAUGAGUGUUUGAUUUGGUUUGGUUUGUUGAUGAAGCAUUAUCUCAUUAUUAAAUGUAACUGAUUAUGAAUGUAGAUGUCUGCACUCUUCUUAUAUGAAGCAACUGGUGCUGACAGUCCUUAACCAGCCCUGAUUCAACAUAAAAAUAAAACUACAGGAGGUGCAAAUACUAGAUUUGUGACAAUUAAAACUGUUAUUUAAAAGGGAAAGAAAAACUAAGAAGUUGGAGAACGUGAGGUCUAGGGCAGGGGUGCCCAAACUUUUUCCCUUGGAGGGCCGAAACCUGAACUUAAUGGUGGGCCAUGGGCCAAAAGCAUACACCUACUGUAUUAUAUUGUUAAGAUGCAAAAUGGUACUAGGUUUCCUUAAGUUUCCCUAAUUGAAUAUUCUUUUAGCUUUUACAUAGUUAACACUUUAAAACCCCCCUGCUGAAUACAAUUGGGCUCAUUUCCAGUUGUACACAAUUUCUACAAUUCCAAGACGACAGUAUGUAGAAAUAGUCAAAUACACCAUUUUACAAUAGGUGAAAAUAAUACCUCAUUCAAAAAACUGCAUGUUUUUUUGCCCCAGACUGCAUGGGAUUAGCAUAAAGUGGGCAUGUCUGUAAAGGGGAGACUCGUGGGUACCCAUAAAACCCAUUUUCAGUCACAUAUCUUGAGGUCAGAGGUCAAGGGACCCCUUUGAAAAUGGCAUUGCCAGUUUUUCCUCAUCAAAAUUUAGCUUUAGCAAACUUUGGAGCCUCUUUCCCGGCAAGCUAACAUGACAUGGUUUGUACGAAUGGAUUCUUUAGGUUCUCUUGUUUCAUAUGAUGCCAGUAUCUUCACUCUAGCUCUAAAACAGCCCGUUACAGCCUCCAAAAGACGAUUGCGUUAAAGGAA
Sebastes umbrosus (honeycomb rockfish) is the source of this 1527-nucleotide long non-coding RNA. RefSeq lists it as uncharacterized. The transcript has 3 exons. NCBI's taxonomy places the organism in Eukaryota, Metazoa, Chordata, Actinopteri, Perciformes, Sebastidae. The record is from RefSeq and is a predicted model, not a curated record.